This is a non-coding RNA of Potamilus streckersoni, 79 nucleotides long. The record is from the annotation of a GenBank genome assembly. NCBI's taxonomy places the organism in Eukaryota, Metazoa, Mollusca, Bivalvia, Unionida, Unionidae.
GGCUCUGAUGGCUUAGUGGUUAGAGCGUCCGCCUCGGAUGCGGGAGGUCGCGGGAUCGAAACCCGGCCGUGUCAUACCA